CCUACGGGUGGCAGCAGUGGGGAAUAUUGGGCAAUGGAGGAAACUCUGACCCAGCAACGCCGCGUGAAUGAUGAAGGUCUUCGGAUUGUAAAGUUCUUUUCUAAGGGAAGAAGAAAGUGACGGUACCUUAGGAAUAAGCCUCGGCUAACUACGGGCCAGCAGCCGCGGUAAUACGUAGGAGGCGAGCGUUAUCCGGAAUGACUGGGCGGAAAGGGUGCGUAGGUGGUUUGGCAAGUUAGUAGCGUAACUCCAAGGCUCAACCUUGGAACUGCUACUAAUACUGGUGGACUUGAGUGCAAGAGGGGCAAGCGGAAUUCCAAGUGUAGCGGUGGAAUGCGUAGAUAUUAGGAAGAACACCAGUGGCGAAGGCAGGUUACUAGACUGAAACUGACGCUGAGGCACGAAAGCGUGGGGAGCAAACAGGAUUAGAUACCCGGGUAGUC
Molecule: ribosomal RNA, 443 nt
Filed under: uncultured bacterium
Lineage: Bacteria
Description: partial 16S ribosomal RNA
Rfam family: Bacterial small subunit ribosomal RNA
Source: RNAcentral